This 73-nucleotide transfer RNA is filed under the name Acanthisitta chloris (rifleman). It matches the Rfam family "tRNA". From Rfam's summary of the family: Transfer RNA (tRNA) molecules are approximately 80 nucleotides in length. The record is from Rfam by way of RNAcentral. Lineage: Eukaryota; Metazoa; Chordata; Aves; Passeriformes; Acanthisittidae.
GAGGAAUUAGCUCAAACUGUAGAAUGCUUGCUUAGCAUGCAAGAGGCAGCAGGAUCAAUGCCUGCAUUCUCCA